AGUGAACGCUGGCGGUAGGCCUAACACAUGCAAGUCGAACGGCAGCACAGUAAGAGCUUGCUCUUACGGGUGGCGAGUGGCGGACGGGUGAGGAAUACAUCGGAAUCUACUUUUUCGUGGGGGAUAACGUAGGGAAACUUACGCUAAUACCGCAUACGACCUACGGGUGAAAGCAGGGGAUCUUCGGACCUUGCGCGAUUGAAUGAGCCGAUGUCGGAUUAGCUAGUUGGCGGGGUAAAGGCCCACCAAGGCGACGAUCCGUAGCUGGUCUGAGAGGAUGAUCAGCCACACUGGAACUGAGACACGGUCCAGACUCCUACGGGAGGCAGCAGUGGGGAAUAUUGGACAAUGGGCGCAAGCCUGAUCCAGCCAUACCGCGUGGGUGAAGAAGGCCUUCGGGUUGUAAAGCCCUUUUGUUGGGAAAGAAAAGCAGCAGGUUAAUACCCCGCUGUUCUGACGGUACCCAAAGAAUAAGCACCGGCUAACUUGAUG
This 492-nucleotide ribosomal RNA is filed under the name uncultured bacterium. RNAcentral's name for it is "partial 16S ribosomal RNA". It matches the Rfam family "Bacterial small subunit ribosomal RNA", at positions 29 to 507 of the family's 1533-position model. The record is from RNAcentral.